Molecule: ribosomal RNA, 830 nt
Filed under: uncultured bacterium
Lineage: Bacteria
Description: bacterial SSU rRNA
Rfam family: Bacterial small subunit ribosomal RNA
Source: RNAcentral
GAGCGGUAGAAGUCCUUCGGGACUUUGAGAGCGGCGUACGGGUGCGUAACACGUGUGCAACUUACCUUUAUCUGGGGAAUAGCCUUUCGAAAGGAAGAUUAACACCCCAUAAUAUAAUGAUUGGCAUCAAUUAUUAUUGAAAACUCCGGUGGAUAGAGAUGGGCACGCGCAAGAUUGGAUAGUUGGUGAGGUAACGGCUCACCAAGUCUGUGAUCUUUAGGGGUCCUGAGAGGGAGAUCCCCCACACUGGUACUGAGACACGGACCAGACUCCUACGGGAGGCAGCAGUGAGGAAUAUUGGACAAUGGGUGAAAGCCUGAUCCAGCCAUCCCGCGUGAAGGAUGACGGUCCUAUGGAUUGUAAACUUCUUUUGUACAGGAAUAAACCUACUCUCGUGAGAGUAGCUGAAGGUACUGUACGAAUAAGCACCGGCUAACUCCGUGCCAGCAGCCGCGGUAAUACGGAGGGUGCAAGCGUUAUCCGGAUUUAUUGGGUUUAAAGGGUCCGUAGGCGGGCCUGUAAGUCAGUGGUGAAAUCUCAUAGCUUAACUAUGAAACUGCCAUUGAUACUGCAGGUCUUGAGUAAAUUUGAAGUGGCUGGAAUAAGUAGUGUAGCGGUGAAAUGCAUAGAUAUUACUUAGAACACCAAUUGCGAAGGCAGGUCACUAAGAUUUAACUGACGCUGAUGGACGAAAGCGUGGGUAGCGAACAGGAUUAGAUACCCUGGUAGUCCACGCCGUAAACGAUGCUAACUCGUUUUUGGAUCUUCGGAUUCAGAGACCAAGCGAAAGUGAUAAGUUAGCCACCUGGGGAGUACGUUUCGCAAGAAUG